Molecule: ribosomal RNA, 684 nt
Filed under: uncultured bacterium
Lineage: Bacteria
Description: bacterial SSU rRNA
Rfam family: Bacterial small subunit ribosomal RNA
Source: RNAcentral
GUGAGUGACCUGCCCUUGUGCGGGGGAUAACCGUGGGAAACCGCGGCUAAUACCGCAUGACAUCUUCUUCUCACAUGGGAGGGAGAUCAAAGGUGCUUUAUUGCACUGCGCAGGGAGGGGCUCGCGGCGUAUCAGCUAGACGGUGGGGUAACGGCCUACCGUGGCGAUGACGCGUAGGGGGUCUGAGAGGAUGGCCCCCCACAUUGGGACUGAGAUACGGCCCAGACUCCUACGGGAGGCAGCAGUGGGGAAUCUUGCGCAAUGGGAGCAAUCCUGACGCAGCGACGCCGCGUGCGGGAGGACGCCUUUCGGGGUGUAAACCGCUGUCACCGGGGACGAACUAGGCUGGGAGGCAAUGCCCAGUCUUUGACGGUACCCGGAGAGGAAGCACCGGCUAACUCCGUGCCAGCAGCCGCGGUAAUACGGAGGGUGCAAGCGUUGUUCGGAAUUAUUGGGCGUAAAGCGCGCGUAGGCGGUCCUUUAAGUCUGUCUUUAAUACGACUCACUAUAGGGCGAAUUGAAUUUAUGCGGCCGCGAAUUCGCCCUUCGGACGGGUGAGUAACGCGUGAUAAUGGGAUUAGAUACCCCAGUAGUCACGGACGGGUGAGUAACGCGUGAUAAUGGGAUUAGAUACCCCAGUAGUCAGGCGGACGGGUGAGUAACGCGUGAUAAUGGGAUUAGAUA